GACGAACGCUGGCGGCGUGCUUAACACAUGCAAGUCGAACGAUGACGACCGAGCUUGCUCGGUCUGAUUAGUGGCGAACGGGUGAGUAACACGUGAGCAACCUGCCCUUCACUCUGGGAUAACCUCGGGAAAUCGGGGCUAAUACCGGAUAUGAGCUCCUGUCGCAUGGCGGGUGUUGGAAAGUUUUUCGGUGUAGGAUGGGCUCGCGGCCUAUCAGUUUGUUGGUGAGGUAGUGGCUCACCAAGGCGAUGACGGGUAGCCGGCCUGAGAGGGCGACCGGCCACACUGGGACUGAGACACGGCCCAGACUCCUACGGGAGGCAGCAGUGGGGAAUAUUGCACAAUGGGCGAAAGCCUGAUGCAGCGACGCCGCGUGAGGGAUGACGGCCUUCGGGUUGUAAACCUCUUUCAGCAGGGAAGAAGCGAAAGUGACGGUACCUGCAGAAGAAGCGCCGGCUAACUACGUG
RNAcentral lists this ribosomal RNA (467 nucleotides) under uncultured bacterium. Its description in RNAcentral is "partial 16S ribosomal RNA". It matches the Rfam family "Bacterial small subunit ribosomal RNA", at positions 28 to 507 of the family's 1533-position model. The record is from RNAcentral.